ACUUUUCCAAGAUUGGGGGUGUGGGGGGUCCAAACUGCCCCCCUCCCCAAAAUCUCCCACUCCUUGUGAGAUUUUCAUCUGAUUUCUGAUCAGAAACAAACUUCUUAGACAAAAGAAAAAUCAUCUUAAAUCAAAACCUGACAGGCAUACUUGCUUACUUGCACUAUAUAAGAUAACUCUUCUUGAACAGUUGUCCAUCAGAGGCUUUCAAACUGUUCUGAAAAUGUUCAUUUCUAAGAAGAAUACAAAUAGUGUAUUCAGUUCAGAUUACGCUCAAGGUAAACACUGCCCUCUAGUGAUGCAAUUUGAACCUGGAACCCCAUUCUUAAAUUUUUCUUCUCCCCCCCACCCCAGACUCAAAUCUACAUUUUGGCAACUUUUGCAAAGAUGACAGGACGUUUUCAAAAUUGUAGGAAUAAAGUUUUAUUUUCCAUAUGAAGGGGUGAUUUUGGAUUUUUCUUCUUUUACAAGUAGUAUGUUUUUGAUAAAACUUGCAAAAAAUUUCCUAGCAUAUUCCAAGAAUGAUGGACAUGAAGAGAAGGGGAAUUUAUUGCUGGAUGUUUAAAAUUAUGACUUUUUUUUUUUACUCGUUUAUUGUUAAUAUUCUUCUCUCUCUCUUAUUUUUAACUGAGUGGAAAAACAAUUUGCUUGCUGCUUUUUCCAUGCACCCAACUACCAGUACCACUAGGACAUGCAGGGGGGGAGGAGGGAGAGAAAAGGGUGGAGCUGGAAGUGAGGGAAAGGAGAGGGAAUUUUAAGGUAAAAAAGACAAACUGCUUGACAAACAAACGUUGAAGGGCUGUGUCUCUCUCUCUCUCUCUCUCUGUGUGUGUGUAUUAAAGUUGGGGUGUGUGUCAGUGUGUGUAAAUGCGAACAGGUGGGUGGGGAAGUGUGGGGUGAGGAAAAACAGGGUGGGGACGGGGGAGAGAAGUAGUUAAACAUUUCAACUAGCUCUAGAAGCACACUAUCCUCACUUGCUGAUUUUCCACGUUGUAAAAUCCCAGACUGAUUACAGUGACAAUACGAUAGAACUAUAAGCGGAACAUUUUUUGGGGGGGAGGGAAAAAUACCCAAAUGAUCCACCUCUACUGGGAUUCUGAGCGGGAUUUGUCACCUUGUUUUUUGGUCUUUUUUUUAAUUAUUUUUUUUAAAGAUACUCUAUAUGUCUGGUCCAUGCAUCGUCUGUGGAAGGAAAGAAAACGGAACCUAAACAGGGGAACGAGUUCUAUGGCACACAGUGACGUUCAUCCUCAAAGAGUCUCCAAGGGGUGGAAGAGUUUUGGUCGGCCUAAUGUGAGUGUGCUGCUCUGUGUGUUCCAGACGAGGGGUUUUAACUCCUCCGCUGGUUGCUUUCGGAAGGUCCUAAGAGGGUGAGAGGAAGACAUGACGGCGGGAAAACAACAGCAACAACAACAACCUCUGUCAGGCGCCAUGACGAAGCAAAAGUAGCUCAGGCGAUCGAAAUGUCGGAAUCACAACUGAGGACGUGUUAACCUGGAUUAUCACACACACCGCCACACAAGUGUGCUUUGUCGCCUCUUAAUUCACGUCCAAGCUGUGCCACCCGCUACCGUGACGAAAACACGUGGAAGUUUGGAAAAGAAAAGACUAAACCAUCAGGUGCAUCUCAGUAAAUUCAAACGUCAUUCAAAUGAAUUCAAUAGUGAAACUCAUAUAGUCUGUCAGAAGCUGCGUUUCCUUUGACCAAUGAUGGCGCGAUUUCACGUUUCGAAAAUAAAUUUGCUCAACACGCCUUUAAAAAAAAAAACAACUCUCGCUUUUUGAUCAAAUGUUUUGCAGCUCUGGGUAUUUUUUUAUUUAUUUGACCGAAUCAAAGCUGGUUUAUUUUUGGAAAACUGCCGUGACUCGAUGGGACCGCUAUUCACGUCACACCAGUCACGAGAUCGACAACUGGACGUUACCACUGGCGCAAAACACUAAGAAGAAAACAGGAAGUAGUGGCAUGUUUCUAACGACUCAUGUGAACAAGUUUAUUCACAUGUUAUUUUAAUUGGGUUUCUCAUUCCAUGGAAACACAGCAAUUACAAAAUUGUGGGGUGUUAUUGUUCCAACAUGAGCAGAAAUGUCGACAGAGUUUUGCGCACAUUUCUAGCAGAAACGAGGCUAGAGCGAUGCAGUCCAACCAUUUUGUUAUUGUUGAUUUUGAUAGCUAAUGAAAAACCAAAUUUCAGUUGCUUGGAAAGUUUGAAUAUGUCAUAAGACCAAUUAAAAGAAAAUCUGAAAUACCAUAUUCUAAGAAGGUUGUCCUUGUACCGCAGAGUGAAUGCAUUCAGUAGCUGAGCUGGACUUCUUUUGCAGCAAUGCGGUGCGGAAUGAUGGAAUAAUGGCAGCCUGGUGCAGUCGCACCAUGGAUGCUAAAGCAGGUGUUGGUACUACUGUAAGUGUGUGUGUGGGUGUGGGGGGGGGGCAAGUCCUGCCCAGAGCCGGAUUUACAAGGAUGUGCGCCCCUGGGCUGGAGACAGUUUUGGUACCCUAUCCGAUAAGGAAAUAUUCAAUUACUAAUGCAAAUUACAGUGAAUCAAUAGGUAGUCCUAAACACCAGCAGGUAUGAACUGAUGCAUCGUAGGUUUAAUACAUCCUCUAGCCAACAACUCCAUGUUGUUCCCAAACAAAUCUGCUAUUACUUUAUAAUGUUCAAAUAUAAAAAUAAUAAAUCUUGGGCCUACGUGUUCUACAUAAAGUAGUGUUUGCAAAACAUGCAUUCAGUAACAAAAGAAAAAAAUAUAUAUUGGGGUGCCCAAGAUUUUUGGGUGCCCCCAAUUUUUUGCGGGCACCCAAAAGUUGGGGGGCCUCUGGGCUACUGCCCCUGUAAGCCCUUUCUAAAGUGUGGUGUGAGUCCUGUGGGAAAAUGAAUAAGAAUGGAAGACAUUCUGUACUGACUGGAAUUGAUAAAGCACAGCAGGCUCACAUCAGCAGGAACGUCAAUCUGGACCUUAAGCAGAGUGGAUUCUGAGCCUCUCUGCUCUUCCUACAAACUCUGGGACAUUGACUUGAAAGUGAAAUGCAAAAUGCACAGCACCUUUUGUAUUUUUAUUGAUGGUCGUUGCUGGACAACUGUCGAGUCAGAAGUUCACUGUGAAGGCCAUAACAUAGUACGCCCGUAGCACGUUGGUUUUAUUGGCAUAAGACUACAUGAUGCCAACGCUCCUGCAUCACUUUUGCAUGUGAGAUACACAAUUUGAUCACUGGCUGUAAUCGAUGUCUUUUUGUUUGCAAAAGAUGGAUGCUGAAUGCUUUUAUACACGUCUAUAGACAUGUGCAACCGUUAUGGAAACAAGACAAAACCUCCUUGAAACUGGAAGCUUGCCAUACCUUCCUAUUAACUGGCCCACUAAUUACUUAGAGGAAUAACCUCUAGAUGGGUAUUUGAUCCAUAAAUAUGGGAAAAAAUAAUAACAUAAAGAGAUGGUAAUGUCAAGGUAGUAGCUUGCUCCGCUCUGUAAACUCCACACCCUUGAUCCCAAUUAAAACAGCAUUCAGAGCGGGAUCAAAACAGCUUGUUCAAAGAUUAGCAUGGACUUGACAUUUCACAGCUGACAGGGAGCUGAACAUGUUUACAUUUUAAAUCUUUUCAAAUUGUUUUCUGUGAUAUUCUAAUUUUGGUAACCAACAUUUUGGGCCGUCGUUAGCUGCAAGCUAGCCUAGCCAUUACCUUCCUGCACAUUUCCGCUCAAUUACGAUCUCGCUUCGCAGCACAGCUCUGUACGAAGCAAAGAACACAGAACAAGGCGCUUAUUGUAGCUAGCAUUAAGCUACAAUCACCAAAAUUCAGUUGAGCAUGGACUCUGAUGACAUUUUAAAUGUUACCCAGUCGCUAACAGGCAGACUAGACGCACAAAAUCCACGUCAUCGUUUACGGCUUCACAUUCUUUUCGCCAAUUGGCCCAGUAGAAAUUCUACUGGAGGUAACCCUUGUAAACGGGAGAACUGUCUGGGCGAGAUUUUAAUGGAGCGGAGAAGCACAAGAAGGCAAUGACCAGGCUACGAAAUGCUUGAAAUGCGUCGUUUUGUGUGUAAUGACUCUUCAUAAUAUAUGAGUUCCACUUUUUGAAUUGAAUUAGUGAGCGAACCAUUGUAAUUUUCUGAGCUGCACUUGUAGGAGUAAGGAGCCGGGAUGACGUCAUCCUCUCGGUGCGGGGUUGGCGUGAGGCAGAAUUCCUAGCAAAGCCCCGGAUGUGCCCUCAGCACAACGGCAUUCUCCAACUUCACCUCCAACAUUUUUGGACAAAACAUCUACACGUGCUCACUUACAUACAUACAUACAACUUUCUGAAUAUUAAUAAUCUUUUUUUUUUUUUUUUAAAUCUGUGAAUUUCCAAUCCCGUUCCCAACUUCAGCGCCCUAAACUUGUGGCUAUGAGUUUUCUUUCUUUCUUCUUUCUGUUAACUCGACGGAAGUGAGUGCGGGUGGGCGGUGGUAUGGGUCUGGCCGCGUGGACUGAUCUGAGACUGGGAUGACGGGGUCGGUGGAGGCGCCGUCUGCUGCGAGUCGUUCGGCUGUGAUGCGAUGGGGAAAGUCCUGAGACACAGUGCGGCUCUAAGCUGCUGGCAUAGGAAACGGGCGGGGGGAUGGGCAGGCAGUCCACGGGAGGCCAGAGUCAGGCUGGAUAUUACAACUGAACUGGUCGGGUUCAGUUCGGGUCGAGCGGCUCCCUGGCUCGCGCGAGGGAGCCGCUUACAGUGCAGUGGAGCUUCUGGCAGCUUGGCGACCGGCGGACGCGUCAGAAACUACGACAAGAUGAGUGACAGGCAGCAGACACGGACGCGGCUAAUGACAGAUGCAUGUUCAUCAGAGGAAUCCACCCUGCACAUCCGGCUGGACCGCCGCGCGGGGCGAACUCGUGUAAACAGACACCUUGUACACAGAAGGAAUCGAUAUUGCAUGAUGACAUAAUCAGAUCACAGUUCAAAAACAGGAAGAUCCCAAAUCAGAGCAAAACAUAAUAAUAAUAAUAAAACCCCAAACCAAAGCAAUAGGAAGGAAGAGGGUUGGUCUCUAUAAAAAUGAGGAGUCUUUAUAAGAAAAGCUACAAAAACUCAACGGGACCUCCGACUUCAGCAUACAGCAAAAGGCACCACAAUAUUA
This is a long non-coding RNA of Xiphophorus couchianus (Monterrey platyfish), 5106 nucleotides long. RefSeq lists it as uncharacterized. The record is from RefSeq and is a predicted model, not a curated record. NCBI's taxonomy places the organism in Eukaryota, Metazoa, Chordata, Actinopteri, Cyprinodontiformes, Poeciliidae. The transcript has 2 exons.